Molecule: long non-coding RNA, 360 nt
Organism: Chlorocebus sabaeus (green monkey)
Lineage: Eukaryota; Metazoa; Chordata; Mammalia; Primates; Cercopithecidae
Source: RefSeq, a predicted model, not a curated record
CACGAAGAGUCCUGUAGCGUAGGUCCAGAAACCCAGCUGUGUUGGAUGGAAUGGAAGAGGUGCGGAGUAACAGCAGGAGACAGGAAAGAAGGCGGCUGUAGCAACCUGCCCAGCACCCCCAGAGCCCAGUAUGGUGUCCAGCACAUGAGAACUGCAGCAAAAGUGGGGACUGAGCCUAAGGACUUGGAUGAGGCUUCCCCUGCCGACACUACCUGACCAGUCUGCAGUCACAACCCAGAUGCAGGGACAGCACCUGCCCUUUCCUUGGCAGAGCCAAAGAUGACACCCAGGUACACAGCGGCCCUCUCUCCAGGCCUUAGAGCUCUCAGUGUGCCAUGACAAAGCCCCCCACCCCCAACA